Lycium barbarum (goji berry) is the source of this 662-nucleotide long non-coding RNA. RefSeq lists it as uncharacterized. NCBI's taxonomy places the organism in Eukaryota, Viridiplantae, Streptophyta, Magnoliopsida, Solanales, Solanaceae. The transcript is spliced from 4 exons. The record is from RefSeq and is a predicted model, not a curated record.
CCCUCUCACGUUUUUGAGGUCCCUCUCUCUCUAAACCUAAUUCACCGUCGACGUCACCAACAGUGCAGGGAGUCACCGUCGUCGUCGUCCACACCCAGAACCGCCGCUGCCGUCGCCAGUUAUCAUCAACAUUUGAGGGUCAGGAUUGAUAAAGAAGAAAGGUUUUAAAGGAUCCUUUGGGGAAGCAGCAAUUUCGGCAAAGCUGCAUCAUUCAAGCCAUGGUGAUGCUUAUGUGUACUCGACUUUGCACUACUCUUUGCCUCCUGUAUUUGCACUAUUGUUUUGCUGCCACUGAUAUGGAUCUUUGGUGUUGCCUAGCACUUUCCCACUUUAUGGCAGGUGAAAAGAGGGGUAAGAAAACAAAGAAGGCUAAGGAGACGGGGGUUCCCCGGAGACCACCAGAAAACCUUGCGAUUAGAGAUAGAAGCCCGUCGCCACGUCUCCCACCACGCGGCGCAUCGUUGUUUAAUUAAUGUUGUUUGAAGCUAUCCAUUUUCUAUUUAUUUAAUGUUGUUUUGAUGUUUGCGAAGGUUGAAAUAACUUAAUUAAUGCUCUUGUGAAUGUUUGAUUGACGUUUUUAUUCAACUUUGAAGUAGUUUCGAAUUGAAUUUGAUGUUUUGGUGGUUGUAAUAUAUGUGUUGUAAUAGUAGCUUAUUGUUUUA